This 98-nucleotide signal recognition particle RNA is filed under the name Pseudomonadota bacterium. RNAcentral's name for it is "Proteobacteria bacterium signal recognition particle sRNA small type". It matches the Rfam family "Bacterial small signal recognition particle RNA". Rfam says of the family: The signal recognition particle (SRP) is a universally conserved ribonucleoprotein involved in the co-translational targeting of proteins to membranes. Archaeal SRP consists of a 7S RNA and homologues of the eukaryotic SRP19 and SRP54 proteins. The record is from RNAcentral. Lineage: Bacteria; Pseudomonadati; Pseudomonadota.
GGAGGUCGGCGGUGGACGGCUCUCUCGCCAACCCGGUCAGGUCCGGAAGGAAGCAGCCGUAACGAGUUUCGAGCCGGGUCGCAAUGCCGGCCUCCCAC